UCAGGUAGGGAUACCCGCUGAACUUAAGCAUAUCAAUC
RNAcentral lists this ribosomal RNA (38 nucleotides) under Otidea tuomikoskii. RNAcentral describes it as "partial 28S ribosomal RNA". Lineage: Eukaryota; Fungi; Ascomycota; Pezizomycetes; Pezizales; Pyronemataceae. The record is from RNAcentral.